This 312-nucleotide unclassified non-coding RNA is filed under the name uncultured fungus. RNAcentral's name for it is "partial contains small subunit ribosomal RNA, internal transcribed spacer 1, and 5.8S ribosomal RNA". The stretch from base 1 to 73 matches the Rfam family "Eukaryotic small subunit ribosomal RNA", at positions 1759 to 1831 of the family's 1831-position model. Lineage: Eukaryota; Fungi. The record is from RNAcentral.
GCAAACUUGGUCAUUUAGAGGAAGUAAAAGUCGUAACAAGGUUUCCGUAGGUGAACCUGCGGAAGGAUCAUUAACGUGUUCGUUCGGCCGCUCGGGUCGGCCCUGCACCGGCGGAGACGCCGUGCUGCGGGCUCUCGGGCGUGCCUUCCAAACCAAACCCCUGUGAACCUUUGGGAAGGCCGAGCCUUCGCGGCGAAGUCGUCCCCUUUACAAACUCUGUAUCUCUAGAAUGACCGCGGACUUCGUCUGCCUAAACACAUAACAACUUUCAACAACGGAUCUCUUGGCUCUCGCAUCGAUGAAGAACGCAGC